AACACAAAGACUUUUUCAGACAUAUAAGAGAUGAAAGAAUCACCUUGAGCCAACCUGCAUUCUAAGAUAUGUUGAAAAAAAUCCUACAAACAGAAGGAAAAUGAUGCCAUAUGGAAAUAUAUUAUAGGUCUACACAAAGGAAUAAAGAGCAUUGGAAAUGAUAACUGGUGGCAUCGUGACUCAUAGAGUUCUAACAAGUGCGACGAGUCCUGAGCAAGCGCCGAAUGCUGAAACAUUUUUUUUCUCGUCAAAAUGAGACAAGCACAGAGUUUGAUGAGCUCUAAAGCCAACAGUCACUGAGGUAUUCUCUUCAUCAAAAUAUGGAACCUAUUGCCUGUCCUCUUGAAUCUCAGCUGGCCUUAGGAGGGACUUUGGCCAAACGAUUGUAGUCUCUUCUGUUGUCCUCUCAUAAUG
This is a long non-coding RNA of Pteronotus mesoamericanus, 414 nucleotides long. RefSeq lists it as uncharacterized. The transcript is spliced from 3 exons. The record is from RefSeq and is a predicted model, not a curated record. NCBI's taxonomy places the organism in Eukaryota, Metazoa, Chordata, Mammalia, Chiroptera, Mormoopidae.